RNAcentral lists this ribosomal RNA (253 nucleotides) under uncultured bacterium. Its description in RNAcentral is "partial 16S ribosomal RNA". It matches the Rfam family "Bacterial small subunit ribosomal RNA", at positions 524 to 776 of the family's 1533-position model. The record is from RNAcentral.
GACGUAGGAUGCAAGCAUUGUCCGGAUUUAUUGGGCGUAAAGAGUUCGUAGGCGGUUUGUUAAGUCUAAUGUUAAAGAUCAGGGCUCAACCCUGGGACUGCAUUGGAUACUGGCAGACUGGAGUGUGGUAGAGGUAAGUGGAAUUUCUGGUGUAGCGGUGAAAUGCGUAGAUAUCAGGAAGAACACCAGUGGCGUAGGCGACUUACUGGGCCAUAACUGACGCUCAUGUGCGAAAGCGUGGGGAGCAAACAGG